RNAcentral lists this long non-coding RNA (776 nucleotides) under Homo sapiens (human). RNAcentral describes it as "HSALNT0075573". The record is from RNAcentral. Lineage: Eukaryota; Metazoa; Chordata; Mammalia; Primates; Hominidae.
CAGGGAGAAGACUACUAUAAGUGGAACAAUGAAAAUGGAAUGUAGUGUGGAAUGCCAGAGAGCACGGAAUGGCUGGACCACAGCCUCGCAGCACAGGCGAGGAGGGGGAGUCAGUGAGGAUGGGAAGGUUUUGAGUCUGGGUAUCAGAAGAUGGAGUAUAUUUAGUGGAAAACUGAUAAUCGGUUUUGAAUCACAUGAGUAUCAGAUGACGACUGGACGGCCAGAGUAAAGGACAAAAUACAAAAGUAGAAAUGGGGCAUGUGGUGGGACAGGGAAUGGGGUUGAAAAAAAAAUUUGAGAAAAGGCAAGAAAAUGGAAAAUCAUACAAUUUUUAUGAUAAAGAUAAUAGUUUAUAAUGUGUCUGCAGAGCCCAAAGAAAGAAAAAUGCCUUAUAAUAAGUGGGAAGAUACACUCCAAGAAGCAGGCCACUUAAAACACAAUAUGUAUUGUGAAAGUUGGAGCAACACAUCUUAGAGGAUGCUGUGUUGUCAUGAAGCCUCCUUUCCUAUUAACCAAGAACAUGCCUUCCUCUGCAUCCUCAUCAAAAUUCUUGGUCACAAAAGCUGGGUAAAUGAUUGAUGAGAAAGAAACUGGUGGUUGAUGGAAAUCAAAGGAAGAAGGCAGGGGCUUCUUCAGCAAUAAAUCAAGAGUGAAAGAACACGAAAUAAACCAUGUAAUUACACUUUUAAGUGACACCAGCACAGGAAUGCAAGAGAGCAAGGCAUGAGGUAAUGCUUCAUUUGGGUGAAAUCAGCUAGGCUUUCCAAUUUAAUAGG